This is a non-coding RNA of Vicia faba (fava bean), 249 nucleotides long. Lineage: Eukaryota; Viridiplantae; Streptophyta; Magnoliopsida; Fabales; Fabaceae. The record is from the annotation of a GenBank genome assembly.
AUGUUGAUUCCGCCUACCUCCAUUCUCGUUGCCCACUCUCCACCCAGCUUCAUUCUCCAUACCUCACUCCGUCCGUUUCUCGCUCUCACCAAGACGCAGAAUAACCAGUCCAUCACCGAACGCCCUUCUUCCCGUCGCCUCAUACUUCUUCGACGGCCUCCAUCAACUCACCGGUUUUCACGAUACCCGCCUGUCAACACCCAACUCCCUUCCGUGCUAGCUGCUGCCUCACCAUCGCAGCUUCCGUAA